UUGAAUUAAAUUUGAAAAUGU
This is a non-coding RNA of Caenorhabditis elegans, 21 nucleotides long. Lineage: Eukaryota; Metazoa; Nematoda; Chromadorea; Rhabditida; Rhabditidae. The record is from Ensembl.